GGGUUGUGAGGUUAAGCGACUAAGCGUACACGGUGGAUGCCCUGGCAGUCAGAGGCGAUGAAGGGCGUACUAAUCUGCGAUAAGCGCCGGUAAGGUGAUAUGAACCGUUAUAACCGGCGAUACCCGAAUGGGGAAACCCAGUGUGACUCGUCACACUAUCAUUAACUGAAUCCAUAGGUUAAUGAGGCGAACCGGGGGAACUGAAACAUCUAAGUACCCCGAGGAAAAGAAAUCAACCGAGAUUCCCCCAGUAGCGGCGAGCGAACGGGGAGGAGCCCAGAGCCUGAAUCAGCAUGUGUGUUAGUGGAAGCGUCUGGAAAGGCGCGCGAUACAGGGUGACAGCCCCGUACACAAAAGCGCAUGUGCUGUGAGCUCGAUGAGUAGGGCGGGACACGUGGUAUCCUGUCUGAAUAUGGGGGGACCAUCCUCCAAGGCUAAAUACUCCUGACUGACCGAUAGUGAACCAGUACCGUGAGGGAAAGGCGAAAAGAACCCCGGCGAGGGGAGUGAAAAAGAACCUGAAACCGUGUACGUACAAGCAGUGGGAGCCCCACCACCAAAGCAUUUGCUGUACCGCGUUGACGGAGCGAAGCGACGUCAAACCGAUAAAACAGCAGUGUAAAGUGAGCCGCAGGGCGCUUUGCGCGACAGCGCAAAGGCAGGCGGUUUCGCGUAGCGAAAGCGAAUGCUUUGGGGUGGGGUGACUGCGUACCUUUUGUAUAAUGGGUCAGCGACUUAUAUUCUGUAGCAAGGUUAACCGAAUAGGGGAGCCGGAGGGAAACCGAGUCUUAAUUGGGCGUUAAGUUGCAGGGUAUAGACCCGAAACCCGGUGAUCUAGCCAUGGGCAGGUUGAAGGUUGGGUAACACUAACUGGAGGACCGAACCGACUAAUGUUGAAAAAUUAGCGGAUGACCUGUGGCUGGGGGUGAAAGGCCAAUCAAACCGGGAGAUAGCUGGUUCUCCCCGAAAGCUAUUUAGGUAGCGCCUCGUGAAUUCAUCUCCGGGGGUAGAGCACUGUUUCGGCUAGGGGGCCAUCCCGGCUUACCAACCCGAUGCAAACUGCGAAUACCGGAGAAUGUUAUCACGGGAGACACACGGCGGGUGCUAACGUCCGUCGUGAAGAGGGAAACAACCCAGACCGCCAGCUAAGGUCCCAAAGUCAUGGUUAAGUGGGAAACGAUGUGGGAAGGCCCAGACAGCCAGGAUGUUGGCUUAGAAGCAGCCAUCAUUUAAAGAAAGCGUAAUAGCUCACUGGUCGAGUCGGCCUGCGCGGAAGAUGUAACGGGGCUAAACCAUGCACCGAAGCUGCGGCAGCGACACUGUGUGUUGUUGGGUAGGGGAGCGUUCUGUAAGCCUGUGAAGGUGUGUCGUGAGGCAUGCUGGAGGUAUCAGAAGUGCGAAUGCUGACAUAAGUAACGAUAAAGCGGGUGAAAAGCCCGCUCGCCGGAAGACCAAGGGUUCCUGUCCAACGUUAAUCGGGGCAGGGUGAGUCGACCCCUAAGGCGAGGCCGAAAGGCGUAGUCGAUGGGAAACGGGUUAAUAUUCCCGUACUUGGUGUUACUGCGAAGGGGGGACGGAGAAGGCUAUGUUGGCCGGGCGACGGUUGUCCCGGUUUAAGCGUGUAGGUGUGUGUUCCAGGUAAAUCCGGUUCACUUUAACACUGAGGCGUGACGACGAGGCACUACGGUGCUGAAGCAACAAAUGCCCUGCUUCCAGGAAAAGCCUCUAAGCAUCAGGUAACAUCAAAUCGUACCCCAAACCGACACAGGUGGUCAGGUAGAGAAUACCAAGGCGCUUGAGAGAACUCGGGUGAAGGAACUAGGCAAAAUGGUGCCGUAACUUCGGGAGAAGGCACGCUGACACGUAGGUGAAGUGAUUUACUCAUGGAGCUGAAGUCAGUCGAAGAUACCAGCUGGCUGCAACUGUUUAUUAAAAACACAGCACUGUGCAAACACGAAAGUGGACGUAUACGGUGUGACGCCUGCCCGGUGCCGGAAGGUUAAUUGAUGGGGUCAGCGCAAGCGAAGCUCCUGAUCGAAGCCCCGGUAAACGGCGGCCGUAACUAUAACGGUCCUAAGGUAGCGAAAUUCCUUGUCGGGUAAGUUCCGACCUGCACGAAUGGCGUAAUGAUGGCCAGGCUGUCUCCACCCGAGACUCAGUGAAAUUGAACUCGCUGUGAAGAUGCAGUGUACCCGCGGCAAGACGGAAAGACCCCGUGAACCUUUACUAUAGCUUGACACUGAACAUUGAGCCUUGAUGUGUAGGAUAGGUGGGAGGCUUUGAAGUGUGGACGCCAGUCUGCAUGGAGCCGACCUUGAAAUACCACCCUUUAAUGUUUGAUGUUCUAACGUGGACCCGUUACCCGGGUUGCGGACAGUGUCUGGUGGGUAGUUUGACUGGGGCGGUCUCCUCCUAAAGAGUAACGGAGGAGCACGAAGGUUGGCUAAUCCUGGUCGGACAUCAGGAGGUUAGUGCAAUGGCAUAAGCCAGCUUGACUGCGAGCGUGACGGCGCGAGCAGGUGCGAAAGCAGGUCAUAGUGAUCCGGUGGUUCUGAAUGGAAGGGCCAUCGCUCAACGGAUAAAAGGUACUCCGGGGAUAACAGGCUGAUACCGCCCAAGAGUUCAUAUCGACGGCGGUGUUUGGCACCUCGAUGUCGGCUCAUCACAUCCUGGGGCUGAAGUAGGUCCCAAGGGUAUGGCUGUUCGCCAUUUAAAGUGGUACGCGAGCUGGGUUUAGAACGUCGUGAGACAGUUCGGUCCCUAUCUGCCGUGGGCGCUGGAGAACUGAGGGGGGCUGCUCCUAGUACGAGAGGACCGGAGUGGACGCAUCACUGGUGUUCGGGUUGUCAUGCCAAUGGCACUGCCCGGUAGCUAAAUGCGGAAGAGAUAAGUGCUGAAAGCAUCUAAGCACGAAACUUGCCCCGAG
This 2926-nucleotide ribosomal RNA is filed under the name Salmonella enterica. RNAcentral's name for it is "partial 23S ribosomal RNA". It matches the Rfam family "Bacterial large subunit ribosomal RNA". The record is from RNAcentral. Lineage: Bacteria; Pseudomonadati; Pseudomonadota; Gammaproteobacteria; Enterobacterales; Enterobacteriaceae.